RNAcentral lists this transfer RNA (72 nucleotides) under Pseudoalteromonas distincta. Its description in RNAcentral is "tRNA-Met". It matches the Rfam family "tRNA". Rfam says of the family: Transfer RNA (tRNA) molecules are approximately 80 nucleotides in length. Their secondary structure includes four short double-helical elements and three loops (D, anti-codon, and T loops). RNAcentral also lists the same sequence under 4 other names. The record is from RNAcentral. Lineage: Bacteria; Pseudomonadati; Pseudomonadota; Gammaproteobacteria; Alteromonadales; Pseudoalteromonadaceae.
CGCGGGAUGGAGCAGUGGUAGCUCGUCGGGCUCAUAACCCGAAGGUCAUAGGUUCGAGUCCUAUUCCCGCAA